GACUAGCUCUGUGCUCUUAUCUUAACUACAGUAGUUUAUUAUUAUAUUUUGAUCAACCACAUCAUAUCAGAGACAACCGUCGAUAACCGUACGAUGCUACCUGCAGCUCAUGCACCAGACAAAGACAUCUGACAAGAGGGGAUGGCUGAAGAACACCAUACCAAAGAAGUUGAUGAGGGUGACAUUGCUGUACAUCUGCUUUAUGAAGAUUAAAAAUAUAUUUGCAAGUAAUUUGCUAUCGAGUUUCGUUUAUACCGAAUGGAAUUUUAAACUUGACGCCUACUUCUUUAAUUAACUAACUUAACUAAUUACUGAUUGAAAUAGAGUACACGUAUUUGAAAAUAAAUUUCGUAAGGUUAUCUACGUAAUAUUGUUAUCUUUAUUUUAUCACGCAUUGUGUUA
This is a non-coding RNA of Styela clava, 402 nucleotides long. The record is from RefSeq and is a predicted model, not a curated record. Lineage: Eukaryota; Metazoa; Chordata; Ascidiacea; Stolidobranchia; Styelidae.